RNAcentral lists this ribosomal RNA (478 nucleotides) under uncultured bacterium. RNAcentral's name for it is "bacterial SSU rRNA". It matches the Rfam family "Bacterial small subunit ribosomal RNA", at positions 305 to 780 of the family's 1533-position model. The record is from RNAcentral.
CCCCCACAUUGGAACUGCGACACGGUCCAAACUCUUACGGGAGGCAGCAGUGAGGAAUAUUGGUCAAUGGACGAGAGUCUGAACCAGCCAAGUAGCGUGAAGGAUGACUGCCCUAUGGGUUGUAAACUUCUUUUAUACGGGAAUAAAGUGGUCCACGUGUGGACUUUUGUAUGUACCAUAUGAAUAAGGAUCGGCUAACUCCGUGCCAGCAGCCGCGGUAAUACGGAGGAUCCGAGCGUUAUCCGGAUUUAUUGGGUUUAAAGGGACCGUAGGCGGAUUGUUAAGUCAGUUGUGAAAGUUUGCGGCUCAACCGUAAAAUUGCAGUUGAUACUGGCAGUCUUGAGUGCAGUAGAGGUGGGCGGAAUUCGUGGUGUAGCGGUGAAAUGCUUAGAUAUCACGAAGAACUCCGAUUGCGAAGGCAGCUCACUGGAGUGUAACUGACGCUGAUGCUCGAAAGUGUGGGUAUCAAACAGGAUUA